UACGUAGGGGGCGAGCGUCGUCCGGAAUUAUUGGGCGUAAAGCGCGCGCAGGCGGUUUCUUAAGUCUGGUGCUUAAGUGCGGGGCUCAACCCCGUGACGCACUGGAAACUGGGAGACUUGAGUGCAGAAGAGGAGAGCGGAAUUCCACGUGUAGCGGUGAAAUGCGUAGAGAUGUGGAGGAACACCAGUGGCGAAGGCGGCUCUCUGGACUGUAACUGACGCUGAGGCGCGAAAGCGUGGGGAGCAAACAGG
Molecule: ribosomal RNA, 252 nt
Filed under: uncultured bacterium
Lineage: Bacteria
Description: partial 16S ribosomal RNA
Rfam family: Bacterial small subunit ribosomal RNA
Source: RNAcentral